Molecule: RNA transcript, 16635 nt
Organism: Mustela lutreola (European mink)
Lineage: Eukaryota; Metazoa; Chordata; Mammalia; Carnivora; Mustelidae
Gene: VPS13D
Gene name: vacuolar protein sorting 13 homolog D
Exons: 70
Source: RefSeq, a predicted model, not a curated record
CCGGGCCGGAGCGCCGCCGGCCAGCGCCAUUGAGGAGCCGGGAGAGGAAGCGCCGCGCAGUGCCGGGCUAGGCGGGCGGCCCGGGACACAGACAGGUUCUUCUAUGACCAUGAGAGGGAGAAGUAAAGAAUGAUCCAUGAUUUUUAAACACCUUGUCUUGAGGAUAUAGUCAUGUUGGAAGGUCUUGUAGCCUGGGUUCUCAAUACUUAUCUGGGAAAAUACGUCAAUAACCUGAACACCGAUCAGCUCUCUGUCGCGCUUCUGAAAGGUGCUGUUGAGUUGGAAAACUUGCCCUUAAAGAAAGAUGCCUUGAAAGAACUGGAGUUACCGUUUGAAGUCAAAGCCGGCCUGAUUGGGAAGGUAACGCUUCAGAUUCCCUUUUACCGCCCCCACGUGGACCCUUGGGUGAUCUCCAUCUCCAGCCUUCACUUAAUCGGAGCCCCUGAAAAGUUAGAGGAUUUCAACGAUGAGAAGGAGAAGCUCCUGGAGAGGGAGCGCAAGAAGGCUCUGCUCCAAGCCCUGGAGGACAGAUGGAAGAACGAACGCCAGCGGAAGGGGGAGUCCUACUGGUACUCAGUCACCGCUUCUGUGGUUACAAGGAUUGUGGAGAAUAUUGAAUUAAAAAUUCAAGAUGUCCAUUUGCGCUUUGAAGAUGGUAUUACCAAUCCGUCCCAUCCUUUUGCAUUCGGCAUCUGUAUUAAGAAUGUGUCCGUGCAGAAUGCUGUGAAUGAGCCUGUACAGAAGUUAAUGCGGAAAAAGCAACUAGAUGUGGCAGACUUCAGCGUCUACUGGGAUGCCCACUGCACUUUGUUGGGGGACUUGCCCCAGGUGGAGUUACAGGAGGCCAUGGACAAGAGCAUGGAGAGCCGCGCGCAUCACUACAUCCUGGAGCCCGUGUGCGCAUCUGCUCUCUUGAAGAGAAACUGCUCCAAAGAGCCCCUGAGGUCUCGGCACAGCCCUCGGAUCGAGUGCGACAUUCACCUGGCGACCAUCCCCGUGAAACUCUCUCAGCUGCAGUACCGGCAGAUCAUGGAGUUCCUCAAGGAGCUGGAACGAAAGGAGAGGCAGGUCAAGUUCCGAAGAUGGAAGCCCAAAGUGGCCGUGUCUGAGAACUGCCGAGAAUGGUGGUAUUUUGCUCUGAAUGCCAACCUGAACGAGAUCAGAGAGGAGAGGAAGCGCUGUACCUGGGACUUCUUGUUGCACCGGGCCCGUGAUGCCGUGUCUUACACCGACAAAUACUUCAGCAAGCUGAAAGGAGGCUUGCUGCAUGCAGACGACAGGGAGGAGAUGCGCCGGAUUGAGGAGGAACAGAGCUUUGAGGAGUUGAAGAUUUUGCGUGAACUGGUUCAUGAGCGAUUUCACAAGCAGGAAGAACUGGCGGAGAGCCUACGAGAGCCUCAGUUGGAUUCUCCGGGGGACUCCCCUGGGGACCCGGAGACAAGUGGAGGCAGUGGGAUGCUCCAGUACCUUCAGUCCUGGUUUCCUGGCUGGGGUGGCUGGUACGGGCAGCAGACCCCUGAGGGGAGAGUGGUUGAGGGGCUGUCGGCAGAGCAGCAUGGACAGUGGACUCCCGAGGAGAUCCUAGGCACAGAGGAGUUUUUCGACCCCACCACUGAUGCGUCCUGCCUGAGUUCCUACAUGAAGCGGGACCUGGUGUUUGCCACACUGAACGUGCAGCUGCAGCGGGGCACCGUGACGCUGCUGCACCAGGAGCCGGGUGGCCCUCGGGCCGAGGAGUGCGCCUUCAUGCAGCUCGAGUUCUCAGGUGUGAAGCUGCUAGCAGAGUCUCUUCCUCGAAGAAAUUCUUCCUUGCUCUCAGUCCGGUUGGGUGGACUGUUUCUUCGAGACCUGGCCACAGAAGGCACCAUGUUUCCCCUUCUGGUGUUCCCGAAUUCACAAAAAGAAGUUGGCAGAGUCUCACAGUCUUUUGGUCUCCAGACAAUAUCUGCAGACAGAAGUGAUCAUAACCCUGCUGCGGAUCCAGAUGACCCGGUUUUUGAGAUGCUGUAUGAGAGAAAUCCAGUGCACAGCCAUUUUGAGAGGCGGCUGAAUGUCAGCACGAGGCCCUUGAACAUCAUAUAUAAUCCUCAGGCUAUUAAAAAAGUAGCAGACUUUUUCUACAAGGGAAAGGUUCAUACCUCAGGUUUUGGCUAUCAAUCUGAACUCGAGCUGAGAGUGGCAGAAGCUGCCCGAAGACAGUAUAACAAACUGAAGAUGCAGACCAAGGCAGAAAUCCGACAAACGCUCGAUCGUUUGCUGGUGGGGGACUUCAUUGAGGAGAGCAAAAGGUGGACCGUGCGACUAGAUAUUUCCGCCCCUCAGGUGAUCUUCCCUGAUGAUUUCAAAUCCAGGAACCCCGUGUUAGUUGUUGUGGAUCUAGGGAGAAUGCUUUUGACAAAUAGCCAAGAUGACUCCAAGAGGAAAAGUGGGGACGGGCUGGCGUCUGAAGAGGACCAGUUUAGUGAUGACGAGUAUAAGACACCCCUUGCCACACCUCCCAGCACCCCCCCUCCCGAGACAAGCAGCGGUAACGGAGGGAAAACAGCGCCAUUUGCUGAGAUGGAAUUCAGCGCAGAGCAGCUGCAGGCACAUCUCAUGAGCACGAAGAUGUAUGAGAGAUACUCCCUGUCAUUCAUGGACCUCCAGAUCAUGGUCGGACGAGUGAAGGACAAUUGGAAGCAUGUCCAGGAUAUUGAUGUGGGGCCAACGCACGUGGUUGAGAAGUUCAACGUUCACCUCCAGUUAGAACGUCGCUUGAUUUAUACUUCAGAUCCCAAGUACCCUGGAGCCGUGCUCUCGGGCAACCUCCCAGACUUGAAAAUUCACAUCAAUGAAGAGAAAAUAUCUGCUCUGAAGAAUUGCUUUGCUCUCCUGACCACCCCAGAGGUAAAGACUUCGGACACUCAGUUUAAGGAGAAGAUUUUUCCACAAGGCGGGCAGCGGGGCAGUUUGCAAGACUCAGUCAUGAAUUUAACCCAGAGUUUCGUGAUGCUUGAGCAGCAUACCCGGGAGGUUCUGGUGGAGUCACAGCUCCUCCUGGCCGAGUUUAAGGUGAACUGCAUGCAGCUUGGUGUGGAAAGCAACGGUCGGUACAUUUCUGUGCUCAAGGUGUUUGGGACCAAUGCUCACUUUGUGAAGAGGCCUUACGAUGUGGAGGUCUCCCUGACCGUCCACGGACUGCUCCUGGUGGACACGAUGCAGACGUACGGUGCUGAUUUUGACCUUUUGAUGGCUUCGCAUAAGAACUUGAGCUUCGAUGUCCCAACAGGAAGCCUCCGGGACAGCAGGGCCCAGUCUCCUGUCUCCGGAUCCAACGCGGCCCACCUCACCAGUGCGGCCACACUGAAUGACCCGUCGGCUACUGGUGUUUCACUUGACAAAAUUAUCACCAAAGAACAGGAGUCCCUCAUCAAACUGGAGUAUCAGUUUGUGAGUUCAGAGUGCCCGUCGAUGAAUUUGGACAGCACUCUUCAGGUGAUUUCGUUACAGGUGAAUAAUCUGGAUAUUAUCCUAAAUCCGGAGACAAUCGUGGAGCUGAUUGGUUUUCUUCAGAAAUCUUUUCCCAAGGAAAAAGAUGAUUUGAGUCCUCAGCCUUUAAUGACUGAUUUUGAAAGAAGCUUCAGGGAAGAAGGAACUUACCAAGCUACAUAUGAACAGAACACCGAGGUUGCCGUGGAAAUCCAUAGGCUUAACUUACUGCUCCUUCGGACAGUAGGGAUGGCAAAUGGCGAGAAAUACGGCAGAAAAAUUGCAACUGCGAGCAUCGGCAGCACCAAAGUUAACGUCUCAAUGGGUAGCACAUUUGACAUGAAUGGUUCUCUCGGCUGUUUGCAGCUCAUGGAUUUGACUCAAGAGAACGUUAAGAACCAGUACGUUGUCAGCAUUGGAAAUUCCAUAGGCUAUGAAAAUAUCAUCAGCGACAUUGGCUACUUUGAAUCUGUAUUUGUUAGGAUGGAAGACGCAGCCGUGAGUGAAGCUCUGAGUUUCACCUUUGUUGAGAAAUCCAAACAGGAAUGUCUUCUCAACCUCAAGAUGGCUUCCUUGCAUUACAACCACUCUGCCAAGUUUCUGAAGGAGUUGACGCUGUCCAUGGAUGAGCUGGAAGAAAAUUUUCGAAGUAUGCUGAAAAGCGCAGCUACCAAAGUCACUACGGUACUGGCUACCAAGACGGCCGAGUACAGUGAGAUGGUGUCACUCUUCGAAACGCCAAGGAAGCCUCGGGAAUCCUUUGUCGUAGAAGAAAAUGAAAUGUAUGGGUUUGGCCUCGCUGGGUCUCAUUCUGACACCGUAAAGCUGAUCUUGAACAUAAACAUUGAAUCCCCUGUUGUGUCUAUCCCUCGGAAGCCCGGGAGUCCCGAGUUGUUGGUGGGACACUUAGGACAAAUAUUCAUCCAGAAUUUUGUGUCAGGAGACGAUGAAUCCAGAAGUGACCGUCUGCGGGUAGAAAUUAAAGACAUUAAGUUAUAUUCUUUGAACUGCACCCAGUUGCCAGGCAGAGAGGGUCCUGGGUCCGAAGUAAGCCGGGGGUUUUGCUCUCCUUCUGGCUCUGCCAGUGCCAACAGUCAGGAGGAAGCUCAUUUCACCCGACAUGAUUUCUUUGAAUCUUUGCAUAGAGGUCAAGCUUUUCACAUCCUGAACAACACCACCAUUCAGUUUAAACUGGAGAAGAUCCCUAUAGAGAGAGAAUCUGAGUUGACUUUCUCCCUUAGUCCAGAUGACCUGGGAACUUCUAGCAUCAUGAAGAUCGAAGGGAAAUUUGUCAACCCAGUCCAGGUGGUGUUAGCAAAGCAUGUAUAUGAGCAGGUUUUACAAACGCUGGACAAUCUCGUGUAUAGUGAAGAUCUGAAUAAAUUUCCAGUCAGUGCUACCUCCUCACCUUGCCCUAAUUCUCCUCUGCCUUCCCUCAGUACCUGUGGAGAGCCUUCCACUGAAAGGAAGGAGAAUGGAUUGUUCAGCCACUCCAGCCUUUCUAACUCUUCUCAAAAGUCCUUGUCUCUGAAGGAAGUCAAAUCUUUUACCCAGAUUCAAGCCAACUUUUGUAUAUCAGAGCUUCAAGUCCAGCUCAGUGGAGAUCUGACUCUGGGGGCCCAGGGUCUCGUGAGCUUAAAGUUUCAGGAUUUUGAGGUGGAAUUCAGUAAAGACCACCCUCAGACUCUAUCUGUGCAGAUUGCCCUGCGCUCUCUACUGAUGGAAGACUUACUGGAGAAAAACCCAGACUCCAAAUACAAGAACUUGAUGGUGUCUCGGGGAGCCCCUAAGCCAUCCAGUUUAGCACAAAAAGAGUAUCUUUCUCAGUCUUGUCCUUCAGUAUCCAAUGUGGAGUACCCCGACAUGCCUCGGUCUCUCCCUUCCCACAUGGAAGAAGCUCCGAAUGUCUUCCAGCUGUAUCAGAGACCCACCUCGGCUUCCCGGAAGAAGCAAAAGGAAGUCCAAGACAAAGACUGUCCCUUGACCCCACCCCCUUCUCCAACAGUAGAUGAGCCCAAGAUACUUGCUGGGAAGAGUAAAUUUGAUGAUUCCUUGGUACAUAUCAAUGUAUUCUUGGUGGAUAAGAAGCAUCCAGAAUUCUCUUCCAGUUAUAAUCGAGUUAACCGGAACAUUGAUGUCGAUUUUAACUGCUUGGAUGUGCUGAUUACGCUGCAGACCUGGGUCGUGAUACUAGAUUUUUUUGGAAUUGGCUCCACUGCGGACAACCACGCUAUGAAGGUGCUGCCUGAGGACAUUCUGCAAAAUGUGAAGUCAGAAUCAAAUGCUCUCCUGGAGUCUGAGCUUCAGGAUCCGGUUAACACCAAGCUGGACCUCAAGGUUCAUUCGCUCUCUCUCGUGCUGAAUAAGACCACCAGUGAGCUUGCUAAAGCCAGUGUGUCCAAAUUGGCUGCACACCUGGAAAUGAUUGACGGAGACCUGGCCUUACAGGGCAGCAUCGGGAGCCUGUCCCUGAGUGACCUCACAGCGCACGGAGAAUUCUACAGAGAGCGCUUCACAACCAGUGGGGAAGAAGCGCUCAUCUUCCAGACUUUUAAAUACGGCCGGCCUGACCCACUGCUCCGGAGAGAACAUGACAUGCGAGUGAGCCUCCAGAUGGCCUCCGUGCAGUAUGUGCACACGCAGCGCUUCCAGGCCGAGGUGGUGGCCUUCGUCCAGCACUUCACGCAGCUGCAAGAUGUCUUGGGGCGCCAGCGAGCUGCCAUCGAGGGGCAGACGGUGAGAGACCAAGCCCAGCGCGGUUCACGGGUUCUCCUGGAUAUUGAGGCGGGUGCUCCCGUUCUCCUUAUCCCUGAAAGUUCCAGAUCAAAUAAUCUGAUUGUAGCAAAUUUGGGGAAGUUGAAGGUCAAGAACAAGUUUCUCUUUGCUGGUUUUCCUGGGACCUUUUCCUUACAAGAUAAGAAAUCUGUGCCUUCAGCAUCCCCAACAGGUACCCCCAAACACUACAUGAGGAAAAUGACAAGCACGGAGGACCCAAAGGGAGCACAUUCCGAGGGGCUGUUCAUGAUGCCUCCUGCUGGAAUGAGUCUAGGCAGCCUGAGGAGUGAGUCUGCGCUGAGUACUUCGACCAAGCAGCAAGGGCAACAAGCUGCGCCCUCCGCCAGCCAGCUUUCCGGUAGUCCAGAAGACCAUGUCUGCCUGCUGGAUUGCAUUGUCGUGGACCUACAAGACAUGGACAUCUUUGCUGCAGAGAGACGUCCUCGAGAGUAUUCUAAGGCCUCAGAGGACAGCAGUGGAGAUCUGGUGUUCCCUUCCUAUUCCGUGCGGCAGACGGGAGGGAGUCUCCUAACUGAGCCUUGUCGGCUGAAACUGCAGGUGGAAAGGAAUUUGGACAAAGAAAUAAGUCACACUGUGCCAGACAUUUCUAUCCAUGGCAGUCUCUCCUCAGUCCACUGCUCCCUGGAUUUGUCCAAAUACAAGCUGAUCCGGGGUUUACUGGAGAACAACCUCGGAGAGCCCAUAGAGGAAUUUAUGCGGCCUUACGAUUUACAAGACCCAAGAAUUCACACUGUUCUCAGUGGAGAAGUGUACACGUGCAUGUGCUUCCUCAUCGAUAUGGUGAACGUGAGUCUGGAGCUGAAAGAUCCCAAAGGAAAAGAAAGUACUGGGUCCUUAGCCAGAUUCGACUUCAAGAAAUGUAAACUGCUCUAUGAGAGCUUUUCCAACCAAACCAAGUCCAUUAACUUGGUUUCCCAUUCCAUGAUGGCUUUUGACACCCGCUAUGCCGGGCAGAAGGCCAGCGCCGGCCUGACAAAUGUCUUCAGCUGUAUUUUUCAGCCUUCCAGGAACAGCAGCACCACCCAGGGAUCCAUCCAGAUGGAGCUGCAUUUCAGAUCUACAAAGGAUUCGUCCUGUUUUACGGUAGUUCUCAACAAUCUGCGUGUGUUCCUCAUAUUUGACUGGCUCCUGCUAGUCCAUGAUUUUCUUCACACUCCCAGCGACAUCAAGAAACAGACUCAUGUUACUUCUUCUCGCCACCGUAACUCUAGCAGUGAAUCUGCUGUAGUUCCCAAAACUGUGAAGAGUGGAGUAGUUACCAAGCGGUCUUCCCUUCCUGUGUCCACUGAAAGGCACCUGGAGGUCAAGGUCAACGUAACAGGCACGGAGUUUGUGGUUGUUGAAGAUGUGUCCUGCUUCGAUACCAAUGCCAUUAUUCUCAAAGGCACCACAGUGCUCACCUAUAAGCCCCGAUUUGUCGAUCGCCCCUUUUCAGGGAGUUUGUUUGGCAUCGAGGUGUUCUCAUGCCGACUAGGGAACGAGCACGAGACGGCUCUUUCAAUUGUUGAUCCAGUUCAAAUUCAAGUGGAGCUCGUGGGGAACUCUUCCUACCAGAAUAGUUCGGGACUGAUGGAUGCGUUCAAUAGUGAAGAUUUCCCACCGAUCUUAGAGAUUCAGUUACAAGCCCUGGAUAUCCGGCUCUCCUACAACGAUGUUCAGCUGUUUCUUGCCAUUGCAAAGUCCAUCCCAGAGCAAGCCAGUGCUGCAGUGCCGGACCCAGUGGCCCUGGAGACCAGCUCUGUUAGCAGUUCCCUUCCCGGUGGGACUCAGGCUGGAGAGGAGAUCAGAGAAGGUUCCAGACACACCCUAGAUCCUGUCUUGGAGUUACAGCUGGCUAGACUGCAGGAGCUGGGAUUCAGCGUGGAUGAUUGCCGCAAAGCCCUGUUUGUGUGCCAAGGCCAGCUGAAGAAGGCGGCAAGUUGGUUGUUUAAGAAUGCCGAACCUCUGAAGUCUCUCUCCCUGGCAUCGAGUGGCCGCGAGAGCCAGGGGCCCGUGGCGGCGCGGCUGAUCUCCGGGGUGGAGGUGAAAGCCGAGAGCGUGUGCAUCUGCUUCAUCGAUGACUGCAUGGACUGUGACGUCCCUCUGGCUGAGCUCACCUUUUCCCGUGUGACCUUCCUGCAGCAGGCACGAGCUAGCCCCGAAGGCUACGCCCACUUCACCCUCUCCGGCGACUAUUACAACCGCGCCCUGUCAGGCUGGGAGCCGUUUAUUGAGCCGUGGCCGUGCUCCGUAUCCUGGCAACAACAGGCAGCUAGUCGUCUCCAUCCUCCUCGACUGAAGCUGGAAGCCAAGGCCAAGCCUCGUUUGGAUAUCAACAUCACCUCUGUGCUAAUUGAUCAGUAUGUAAGUACCAAAGAAUCGUGGAUGGCGGAUUACUGUAAACAGGACAAGGAAAUGGAUUCAACCACAUCAGAAGACUGGAUGGGCUCUUCAGUGGAUCCUCCAUGCUUUGGACAAAGCCUCCCCCUUGUCUACCUUAGAACUAGGAGUACAGCCAGUCUGACUAACCUAGAGCACCAGAUCUAUGCUAGAGCAGAGGUGAAGACCCCCAAGCGCCGGCAGCCGUUUGUCCCUUUUGCUCUGAGGAACCACACAGGCUGCACUUUGUGGUUUGCCACCCUGACCACCACGCCCACCAGGGCUGCGCUGUCCCACAGCGGGAGUCCGGGGCUCGUUCCAGAAGGCAAUGGCACAUUUCUUGAUGAUGCUCACAAUGUCAGUGAAUGGCGGGAAGUCCUCACGGGGGAGGAGAUUCCCUUUGAAUUUGAAGCAAGAGGAAAGCUUAGACACAGGCACACCCACGACCUCCGGAUUCAUCAGCUGCAAGUGAGAGUGAACGGCUGGGAGCAAGUGAGCCCCGUGUCUGUGGACAAAGUCGGGACAUUCUUCCGCUACGCAGCACCGGAUAAGAAUUCAUCUUCUUCUACGAUUGGCAGCCCAAGCAGCAGAACGAAUAUUAUUCAUCCCCAGGUUUAUUUCUCUUCGCUGCCACCUGUUCGGGUGGUCUUUGCCGUGACGAUGGAAGGCAGUGCUCGGAAAGUCAUCACUGUCCGGUCUGCCCUCAUUGUUAAGAACAGGCUUGAGACGCCCAUGGAGCUGAGACUGGACAGCCCGUCAGCUCCAGACAAGCCUGUGGUGCUUCCUGCCAUCAUGCCAGGGGAUUCGUUCGCGGUGCCUUUACAUCUCACUUCCUGGCGGCUCCAGGCCCGGCCCAAAGGAUUGGGUGUGUUUUUCUGUAAGGCUCCUAUUCACUGGACCAAUGUAGUGAAGACCGCAGAGGUUAGCAGCAGCAAACGAGAGUGCCACUCUAUGGACUUGGACAAAAGCCGUUUCUUCAGGUUUUGUGUGGCCAUAAAGAAGGAGAAUUAUCCGGAUUAUAUGCCCUCAAACAUAUUUUCUGAUAGUGCGAAACAGAUCUUCAGACAGCCAGGACAUACCAUAUACCUCCUUCCAACUGUGGUCAUCUGCAACUUGUUACCUUGUGAACUUGACUUUUAUGUGAAAGGGAUGCCAAUUAAUGGGACCCUGAAACCUGGCAAAGAGGUGGCCCUCCACACAGCUGAUACAUCACAGAACAUUGAACUGGGGGUAUCCCUGGAGAAUUUUCCACUCUGUAAGGAACUGCUCAUUCCACCGGGAACCCAAAACUACAUGGUGAGGAUGCGACUGUAUGACAUCAACCGGCGGCAGCUGAACCUCACCAUCCGCAUCGUGUGUCGAGCAGAAGGGUCCUUGAAGAUCUUCAUUUCUGCUCCAUAUUGGUUGAUUAACAAAACAGGGUUACCACUGAUCUUCAGACAGGACAAUGCAAAGACAGAUGCCGCAGGCCAGUUUGAGGAACACGAGCUGGCCCGGAGCCUGAGCCCUCUCUUAUUCUGCUACGCCGACAGAGAGCAGCCAAACCUCUGCACGAUGAGAAUCGGAAGGGGGAUUCACCCUGAAGGCAUGCCGGGCUGGUGUCAGGGCUUUUCACUGGAUGGUGGGAGUGGUGUCCGAGCUUUGAAAGUCAUCCAGCAAGGAAACCGCCCAGGGCUGAUCUAUAACAUCGGUAUUGAUGUCAAGAAAGGCCGAGGUCGAUAUAUCGACACCUGUAUGGUCAUCUUUGCCCCUCGUUACCUGUUAGAUAAUAAAUCAUCUCACAAGCUUGCAUUUGCACAGAGGGAAUUUGCCCGGGGACAGGGAACAGCCAAUCCUGAAGGCUACAUUUCCACCCUUCCUGGUUCCAGUGUGGUGUUCCACUGGCCUCGGAAUGAUUAUGACCAGCUCUUAUGUGUCAGACUGAUGGAUGUUCCCAAUUGUAUUUGGUCCGGAGGCUUUGAAGUCAAUAAGAAUAAUUCCUUCCAUAUCAACAUGAGAGAUACCCUGGGGAAGUGCUUCUUCCUGCGUGUGGAAAUUACUCUCCGAGGAGCUACCUACAGGAUCUCAUUUAGUGACACGGACCAGUUACCACCGCCUUUCCGAAUUGACAACUUUUCUAAGGUUCCAGUGGUCUUUACUCAGCACGGUGUCGCUGAACCCAGACUCCGAACCGAAGUGAAGCCCAUGACGUCAUUGGAUUAUGCCUGGGAUGAACCCACCCUGCCUCCUUUCAUCACGCUCACCGUGAAGGGGGCGGGCUCCUCUGAGCUCAGCUGCAGCAUGAAUGAUUUUCAGGACAACCGACAGCUCUAUUACGAAAACUUCAUUUACAUCGCUGCUACGUAUACAUUCUCAGGUUUACAGGAGGGGACGGGAAGGCCCGGGGCCUCUAGCAAGACCACUGCGUGUGCGGAGCUCGUCUUGGAUGUCUCCCCAAAGACGCAAAGAGUCAUUUUAAAGAAGAAGGAGCCCGGGAAGCGCUCCCAACUGUGGAGGAUGACCGGCACGGGCAUGCUGGCCCACGAGGGAUCUUCGGUGCCUCACAACCCCAAUAAGCCCUCCGCAGCCCGCUCCCCCGAGGGCUCCGCCAUCUUGGAUAUCGCUGGUCUUGCGGCAGUAACUGACAACAGAUACGAGCCACUGAUGCUACGCAAGCCGGAUCGCAGGCGAAGCACAACUCAGACGUGGAGUUUCCGGGAAGGAAAACUGACCUGUGGGCUGCACGGGUUGGUUGUCCAGGCCAAAGGAGGGCUUUCCGGUUUGUUUGAUGGAGCUGAAGUUGUUCUUGGUCCUGACACUUCCAUGGAGCUUCUGGGGCCAGUUCCUCCUGAACAACAGUUUAUCAACCAAAAAAUGAGGCCUGGUUCUGGAAUGUUAUCUAUCCGAGUCAUCCCAGAUGGGCCGACCAGAGCACUCCAGAUAACAGAUUUCUCCCAACGGAAAAGUGACCGUUCAUCAUAUGAAAUGGAUGAACUUCCCGUUACCGAGCAAGAGGUACAGAAAUUAAAGAAUCCAGACACAGAGCAGGAACUGGAAGUGCUUGUGAAGUUAGAAGGUGGAAUUGGGUUGUCCUUAAUUAAUAAAGUCCCAGAAGAACUGGUCUUUGCAAGUCUUACAGGAAUCAAUGUGCAUUACACACAGCUGGCAACAAGUCACAUGCUUGAGCUGAGCAUACAGGAUGUGCAGGUGGACAAUCAGCUCAUUGGUACCACUCAGCCCUUCAUGCUGUACGUGACUCCCCUGAGCAAUGAGAAUGAGGUCAUCGAGACCGGCCCGGCCGUGCAGGUGAACGCGGUGAAGUUCCCCAGUAAGAGUGCGUUGACCAACAUCUACAAGCAUCUGAUGAUCACGGCUCAGAGAUUCACAGUGCAAAUUGAAGAGAAACUGCUCCUCAAGCUGCUGAGUUUUUUUGGCUACGAUCAAGCAGAAUCAGAGGUGGAAAAGUACGAUGAAAACCUCCACGAUAAGACGGCUGAGCAGGGUGGAACACCAAUUCGGUACUACUUCGAAAACCUCAAAAUCAGCAUUCCCCAGAUCAAGCUGAGCGUGUUCACCUCCAACAAGCUACCACUGGAUCUCAAGGCUCUAAAAAGUACCUUGGGAUUUCCACUGAUUCGGUUUGAGGACGCCGUGAUUAAUCUGGAUCCAUUCACUCGGGUACAUCCCUAUGAGACCAAGGAGUUCAUCAUCAAUGAUAUCCUCAAACACUUCCAGGAGGAACUCCUCAGCCAGGCAGCUCGGAUCUUGGGAUCUGUGGACUUUCUCGGCAAUCCCAUGGGGCUGUUGAAUGAUGUUUCUGAAGGGGUUACUGGACUGAUAAAAUACGGAAAUGUCGGAGGCCUCAUCAGAAAUGUCACGCACGGCGUAUCAAACUCAGCUGCCAAGUUCGCAGGGACAUUAUCGGACGGCUUAGGGAAGACGAUGGACAAUCGGCAUCAGUCGGAGCGGGAGUACAUCAGAUACCAUGCAGCCACAAGUGGGGAGCACCUCGUUGCCGGCAUCCAUGGCCUGGCUCAUGGGAUCAUCGGGGGCCUGACCAGUGUGAUAACCUCGACAGUGGAAGGAGUGAAAACGGAAGGGGGCGUCAGCGGUUUCAUAUCUGGCCUUGGGAAGGGGCUUGUUGGCACUGUAACCAAACCAGUGGCAGGUGCCCUGGAUUUCGCAUCAGAAACAGCCCAGGCGGUGAGAGACACAGCCACGCUCAGUGGCCCCAGGACUCAAGCCCAGAGGGUUCGGAAGCCGCGCUGCUGCACCGGGCCCCAGGGGCUGCUGCCCCGCUACUCGGAGAGCCAGGCGGAGGGGCAGGAGCAGCUCUUCAAACUGACAGACAACAUUCAAGAUGAAUUUUAGACUCACUGUUUCACUUCUGGAAAAUGUUGUGUAAUUACUUCCUGAUGUAGUGAAAACCCCACAAAGUCCCCAGCGCCGUGGGCACUUCAACUUUGUCCUCCCAGAGAAGUAUAAAAAAAGAACAGAAAAACAGCCUGUAAACCCACCAGCCAAACCAGUUCUUUCUCUGACGAAAGAAGCACAGGCACGUGGUCAGCACAUCGAGAGCACAGAAAGAAAUGAACUCAAGAGCAAAUUCUCCUUUCUUGCCCUCUUUGUAACCAUACUGUUUAUGAUAUUUUCGGUCUCGUCUACCCUUCUUCACAAAUUGCAGAUAGAGAAAGAAAUCAGAAAUUUUUUUAGAGCGCAGGUUAUAGUGUUGAUUCUAACAGCAUAGAACCAUCAAUGUAAACGUUAUAGCAGCAGAUACAGCUUGAAAACGAGAACAAAAAAAGACCCUUUUGAGCAAUGGGAUAAAAUUCAUUUGCUUCCAUUUUCCAAACUGGAUCAUAAUCUGUCCAUAACCAUUGACACUUAGGGAAUUGGACAUUCUUUGCUAUGCCCCUGAAUGAAAAUUUGUAUGUGACAGAUCAGCCAGCUGUGCUGAAAAAAGUUAAUGGCUUGACUCUAUCUGUAAUAAGUUAGAUCAAGAGUUCCAAGAGAGUUUUGUAACUUCACUUCUGGGUAAAAUACAGUCCCAACAUACAAAGUUGCAUGUGCUCGGGCAGACUCCCCUGGAUCUUACAAUGUAAAUUCACUGUCAUUUUGUAAAACUACCUAGCGCGUCAGUGUGUCGAAUGCUGCUCUGUGCCAGGGCGAGUGAGAAGUUUUUUUCUUUCCUUGACGAGUUCGCAGUCUGGCAGGGGAAGCAGGACGGUAUUACUAACCAACUAUAACGUAUGAUUGCUUUGAAAAAAUAGAAGUGUGAGCUGUGUGUUAUGAGGCCUCAAGGGGAAGUGAUUAAUUUAUGCUUGGAGAGCCAGGAAAGGCUAUGGAUGGUUGACCUGGUCCAACAGGAUGAGGAGAAUUGUGCCUGGGAGAGGAGAGAGAAAGCCCCAAACAAAGAGAAGGAUUAGUGCUGGGCACAGGCGUGGAGGCGGCAGAGUUCCUGGAUGGUUGGGGUCCGCCGGGUGUGGUGGCAGGUGGCCCACAGUCCAGAUCCUAAGAGCUGUACUGAACUCGCCUGUCCUGUAGGCAGUGGUGAGAUUUUGAAGAGGACCCCACUGAGAAUUACAUGUUCACAAUGUCACCUUGCCGGCAGCAGAGAAACGGAUCACAGUCAGAGACACGCGACAGGAAGGCAGUAGGGGGGGGGGCGUGGGCGUGGUCCACGCCAAUAGUGGGGGGACCCCAGUGCAGAUGGUGGCUGCGAACAGGAGUGGGGGGACAGAGCUGAGGUGGUUUGGGGAGGUGGCAUCAGCGCUGACUAAAUACAGAGUCGGAGUGAGGAGGAGAUGAGAGUGACCUCCGGGCCACUUGUCCGUGUGGCUGGAUGGAGAUGUGGCCCAGUGUGCCAGGCAGGCUGAGGGAGGAGGGGGGCUGGAGGAAGGGGCAGCAGCCUGGCCGAGCACAUGCUGAGCGUGGGGACCUGUGGGCGUGUGUGCACAGAGAACCUCUGGGCUCUUAACAGGUCAGAGGCUAGAAGGGUGUGCCCAGGGUCCCCCUGAGACCACACUGGCUUUCGUCCUGUGCCAUCCCGUGAGGUUUUGCCACAGUCCCUUCAUUUGUGGGCCAAGAGCAGCCCUGCGUGAAACGGGCUUGUUCCAGAAUGAACAGUGGGAAGCCCAGUGUCCAGACACAGCUCCAGGGCGGCCGUGGCGCCGUGAGCUGUGUGAGCAAACGCCGCGCCUCCCGAGAGAAGCAGCUUCUGCAGGUGGGUGGCUCGGAAGGGACAAAGUGCUGUGGCUCCGAAGAAAGGGACAGAGGACGGUGCUGCUGGCAGAGGGGAAGGCCCGAGAGCGCUGCCUUGGCCGGCUUCUCCGGUCACCCUGAGCUGCGGCUCCUCUCACAGACGAGGGACAUGUUUCGGAUCUGUCUCCACAGCAGGGGACCUCUAGUCUAGAGCUGAGCUGUAAUCAUCCUAGAUGCUGUAAAGGAGACAAAGAGGAGGAGGAGGAGGAAGAAACCCGGGGCACUGGCGGCAGGCGGUAGGGGUGUUGGCACGCAUCAGGAGGGAAACAGAGAGGCAGAGCUGUUUGCAGUGUCAGCCGCUGGGUCCUUGCUCGGGCGGCUCCAGGGACACGGCCCCCGGCCAUGGCUUCACUCUCUCCGUUUCUCCUCCUCUCACUUGCACCGGCUCUGAUCUGCUCUUGAUUUGAAAAGACUUCAAAGAGUUGAUGCACGUGUCGAGGGUGUGAUUCCCGGUGGUGGCUUCAGGGUCCGAAUGGGGCCCCUGGGCACAGAACAGAGGUCUGGCCAUGAAUUCUUCAGACUUUGCCACUUGGUGAAGAACCUGGCAGAUAGCGUCACCUCUGUCAGAUGAAGAAAGCGAGCCACAGGGACGGCAGCUGGCCUGCGCAGAGUCACCCGGCCUGGCAGCCUUUCCUCCUCUGUGACAAGUGCCACCAUCGAGCCUCCAAGCCCAGAGCCACCCUUCCUCCCGCGGCAGCUCUGGCUGGACUAAGGACUUUGCCAUCUGUGGCAUCUUGGAAAGGAGUCUAUUUGAAAGCCUGUGAAAGUGUUCCAGUGUGGAAAGUGCACUAAUAAUGUCAGCCACCCUGGCCUGGGCGCGAGAACAGCUGCCCGGAUGGAAAGGCCUGGCUUUCUAGAGGCUGGGCCUCCGUGUCCGCUACGGCAGGUUCCAGACAGGUGCAAGUGGGGGUAAGGGUCAUGGGGUAGGUCCAUCCGCACUGGACCAGAGGAGAGGAAAUAACCUCAGCUGGAUUUUUAUUUUUUAUUUUUUAAAGAUUUUAUUUAUUUGAGAGAGAAUGAGCAGAGUGAGAGAGACCAUACAAGCAGGGGGAGAAGCAGAGGGAGAAACAGACUUUCCGCUGAGCAGGGAGCCCGGUAUGGAGCUCGAUCCCAGGACCCUGAGAUCGUGACCUGAGCUGAAGGCAGACACUUAACCGCCUGAGCCACCCAGGCGCCCCUCAGUUGGAUUUUUAAUGCACAUUCCUGCUCUCACCCCCAGGCAGCGGCCAAUUUUGGGGUCUCCUUUGGGAGCCCAUUGCAUGCCCAGCCUACCUGUACUCAGAAACCAUGGACCGUUUGCAGUUUUCAUGUCAGUUGCUCAGCAAGUUCUGGGCCUGUGGUGCUUCCUGUCUGCAUCAGGAUGCUUUUGUCAUCUGUCUCUCUCUCUCUGUCUCCCUCUGUUUCUCCUUUCUUCCCCCUACCCCGGAGGAGCUGUUGGAGAUUCCUUUCAGUUUGAUUAAGCGAUAACGCUCCUGCCUUGAUACUGUCAGAACCUAGAAUGUGGGAAAUUCUGCACUAAGCGGCCUGAACACCAAAAGCUGCCGGGUAGUUCUGAUUUUGGCAUUGAGACUUUACAAGUCUGCAUUCUUGGCAUUGCCAACCAGUUAGAAUAGAACAAUAAACCCCAAUUUUUGUCAUGCAAGGCUGUAAUUAAAAUGGCAACUGGAACAGACGGAUACUUACUUGAGUACGUAGGGGGUGGCUGACUCGGUGGUGGUAGGCUCAGAGAGACGCGGGGGUGUGCGAUGCGGACCCCCCCCCCCCCCGCCCCGC